CACACCGCCCGUCACGCCAUGGAAGCUGGAGGGACCCGAAGCCGGUGUGCCAACCGCAAGGAGCAGCCGUCUAAGGUCAAUUCAGUGACUGGGGCG
Molecule: ribosomal RNA, 96 nt
Filed under: uncultured bacterium
Lineage: Bacteria
Description: partial 16S ribosomal RNA
Rfam family: Bacterial small subunit ribosomal RNA
Source: RNAcentral